RNAcentral lists this ribosomal RNA (1293 nucleotides) under Brevundimonas terrae. RNAcentral describes it as "partial 16S ribosomal RNA". It matches the Rfam family "Bacterial small subunit ribosomal RNA", at positions 79 to 1445 of the family's 1533-position model. The record is from RNAcentral. Lineage: Bacteria; Pseudomonadati; Pseudomonadota; Alphaproteobacteria; Caulobacterales; Caulobacteraceae.
ACGUAAUUUCUGCGUAGUGGUCGAGAGUGAGUGACACGAUGAGACGUGACUACCUGUCCUGUCUCUGCUGGAACGUGUGGUAACGCCUCUUGUGCCUACCGAGAUUUCUCAUCUGCUAUGGAGCGGGACACGUCCGAUUAGCUAGUAGGGAGCUCAUGGCUCACCCUGGCGACGAGCGGGAGGUGGUCUGAGAGGAUGACCAGCCACAUUGGGACUGAGACACGGCCCAAACUCCUACGGGAGGCAGCAGUGGGGAAUCUUGCGCAAUGGGCGAAAGCCUGACGCAGCCAUGCCGCGUGAAUGAUGAAGGUCUUAAGAUUGUAAAAUUCAUUCACCGCGGACGAUUGUGACCCUCCCCGGAGAAGAACCCCCGGCUAACUUCGUGCCAGCAGCCGCGGUAAUACGAAGGGGGCUAGCGUUGCUCGGAAUUACUGGGCGUAAAGGGCGCGUAGGCGGAUCGUUAAGUCAGAGGUGAAAUCCCGGAUCUCAACUUCGGAACUGCCUUUGAUACUGGCGAUCUUGAGUGUGAGAGAGGUAUGUGGAACUCCGAGUGUAGAGGUGAAAUUCGUAUAUAUUCGGAAGAACACCAGUGGCGAAGGCGACAUACUGGCUCAUUACUGACGCUGAGGCGCGAAAGCGUGGGGAGCAAACAGGAUUAGAUACCCUGGUAGUCCAUCCCGUAAACGAUGAUUGCUAGUAUCGCAUUAACAUGCAGUUCGGGGGGACAGCUAACGCAUUAAGCAAUCUCGCCUGGGGAGACGGGGGGCAAGACAAAACUCAAAGCAAUUGACGGGGUUCCGCACAACGCGGUGGAGCAUGUGGUUUAUUUGGAAGCAACGCGCAGAUCCUUACCACCUUUUGACAUUCCUGGACCGCCACGGAGACUGCAUUUUCCCUUCGGGGACUAGGACACAGAUGUUGCAUGAAGUUCGUCAGCUAGCGCAAUGAGAGGUUGGGUUAAGCCCCGCAACGAGCGCAACCCUGGGCAUUAGUGGCAAUCAUCCAGUUGGAACUUGUAAGAGGACGGCGGGGGCUACACGGCAGCAAGCCGGGGAUGUCUUCAGGUCCUCACGGCCUUCACAGGCUGGGCCACACGGUUGCUACACUGGGGGGUGCAGAGGAUCCAUCAAAAAAGGUCUCAUCUGUUAGGAUGGUCUUCAGCUACUCCCCGGCAAGAAGUAGUAAUUAGUAGUAACAGAUCAUCACCAUGCCGCGGAAAUACGCCCCGCCCUUGCACACCCCCGUCCACCACAUGAGUGUUCGAUCUACCGGAGGGCGAGCGCUACCCGCCAG